RNAcentral lists this ribosomal RNA (497 nucleotides) under uncultured bacterium. RNAcentral describes it as "partial 16S ribosomal RNA". It matches the Rfam family "Bacterial small subunit ribosomal RNA", at positions 28 to 507 of the family's 1533-position model. The record is from RNAcentral.
GAUGAACGCUGGCGGCGUGCCUAAUACAUGCAAGUCGAGCGAACGGACGAGAAGCUUGCUUCUCUGAUGUUAGCGGCGGACGGGUGAGUAACACGUGGAUAACCUACCUAUAAGACUGGGAUAACUUCGGGAAACCGGAGCUAAUACCGGAUAAUAUUUUGAACCGCAUGGUUCAAAAGUGAAAGACGGUCUUGCUGUCACUUAUAGAUGGAUCCGCGCUGCAUUAGCUAGUUGGUAAGGUAACGGCUUACCAAGGCAACGAUGCAUGGCCGACCUGAGAGGGUGAUCGGCCACACUGGAACUGAGACACGGUCCAGACUCCUACGGGAGGCAGCAGUAGGGAAUCUUACGCAAUGGGCGAAAGCCUGACGGAGCAACGCCGCGUGAGUGAUGAAGGUCUUCGGAUCGUAAAACUCUGUUAUUAGGGAAGAACAUAUGUGUAAGUAACUGUGCACAUCUUGACGGUACCUAAUCAGAAAGCCACGGCUAACUACGUG